This 72-nucleotide transfer RNA is filed under the name Camelus bactrianus (Bactrian camel). It matches the Rfam family "tRNA". From Rfam's summary of the family: Transfer RNA (tRNA) molecules are approximately 80 nucleotides in length. RNAcentral also lists the same sequence under 1 other name. Lineage: Eukaryota; Metazoa; Chordata; Mammalia; Artiodactyla; Camelidae. The record is from Rfam by way of RNAcentral.
GAGGGCAUAGCUCAGUGGUAAAGUGCAUGCUUAGCAUAUAUAAGGUCCUGGGUUCAAACCCCAGUGCCUUCA